This is a long non-coding RNA of Mus musculus (house mouse), 1220 nucleotides long. RefSeq annotates it as predicted gene, 46484. The record is from RefSeq and is a predicted model, not a curated record. NCBI's taxonomy places the organism in Eukaryota, Metazoa, Chordata, Mammalia, Rodentia, Muridae. The transcript is spliced from 3 exons.
UAUACUCAGGGAUCUUUAAAGCACCCUUUUACCCCCCACAGAGCUCUCUUCCCCAUGUAAAACUUUAGGAUAGGGAGGGUCUGUUGUGUAAACUGAACUGUGGACUCCAAAGCUGAAAAACAGCAAUGAACCCCAUUUUGCCCUUCAGCCUGCUCUGUUGCAGCUCAUUGCAGAAGCUGAAUUCUAAACAGUGAUGUCUUGCAAUCUGUUGUCUGCAGGUUUAUUUUAUUGUGGCAGCUUGAAUCCAGGGCCUCCAGAAUGUGAAGGACAUGCUCAGACAUUCAUGACCACGCUGUGCCCUGCUCCGAGAGACCCUCCUUCACGGGUAGCUCUGACUCCCUGUGGAGGAUGCAGGAUGCCAGCAUAACUGGAUGGAAAGGGAAACAGGCCAUCUGCCCUGCACAACCACAGGACCCAGAUUGGCAACUGACUGUAAAUGCACCAAUUUCUUCAUGCAAAGCAUGGAUUGUAGAUUCAAGCAACAUUCAUAAUCCUCAGAGCACCGUUCUCCAAGAUGACUUUGAAGGCAUAAGAAGAACCUAUCCUUCCUAAAGAUGAAAUCUAAGGCCAAGAAAAUCAGGGAGACAGAAUAAGAAGUCUCCACAGCCCCAGUAAAGAAGACACACAUGUCACCUACCUCUGGCAGCCAAAGAUUUUGUGGCUCUGGACAUAUACCAUAUAAUUUUGGAACCGAGACUCCAAGAGAAAGAAACCUGUCCACGACUUCAUUAUUAGAUUCUCUUUGUCACUGAGUCUGCCAUGAGGAAGACAGAAGACAACACACACCUGUUCACUGUGGAGGCCAAAGUCAACCAGAGCUAGAUGAAACUGGCUGGGGGUGGGGGGUAGCUCUGAGACACAGAAGCAGCAGUAGGUGCCCUGAUCAGGUCUGGUGCACAGCAGGAGAUAGAACCAACCCUUUCAGCUUCUGCUAAGUUGUGGAUGUUGACAUCAAAAUUAAUAUCAUCAAAACAUUUCAACUGACUCAUUUUAAAUUUUUGUUGUUAUCUUGCAUACAUUGGGCCUGUGAGCAUGAGGGAGACAGAGAGACAGAGAGGUAGUUUAAUGACAGAGCUCCAGACCGACAUGCAUCUCACACAGGAGAUAACAGAUGUCAGCCUCGGGGCUCAAAAGUUAGGGAUUUUUAUGGAGAGAGAGAGAGAGGCAGACAGACAGAGACAGACAGACAGAGAGGAGCAGACAGACAGACAGACAGAGAG